GGGCGUUAAGUUGCAGGGUAUAGACCCGAAACCCGGUGAUCUAGCCAUGGGCAGGUUGAAGGUUGGGUAACACUAACUGGAGGACCGAACCGACUAAUGUUGAAAAAUUAGCGGAUGACCUGUGGCUGGGGGUGAAAGGCCAAUCAAACCGGGAGAUAGCUGGUUCUCCCCGAAAGCUAUUUAGGUAGCGCCUCGUGAAUUCAUCUCCGGGGGUAGAGCACUGUUUCGGCUAGGGGGUCAUCCCGACUUACCAACCCGAUGCAAACUGCGAAUACCGGAGAAUGUUAUCACGGGAGACACACGGCGGGUGCUAACGUCCGUCGUGAAGAGGGAAACAACCCAGACCGCCAGCUAAGGUCCCAAAGUCAUGGUUAAGUGGGAAACGAUGUGGGAAGGCCCAGACAGCCAGGAUGUUGGCUUAGAAGCAGCCAUCAUUUAAAGAAAGCGUAAUAGCUCACUGGUCGAGUCGGCCUGCGCGGAAGAUGUAACGGGGCUAAACCAUGCACCGAAGCUGCGGCAGCGACGCUUAUGCGUUGUUGGGUAGGGGAGCGUUCUGUAAGCCUGUGAAGGUGGCCUGUGAGGGUUGCUGGAGGUAUCAGAAGUGCGAAUGCUGACAUAAGUAACGAUAAAGCGGGUGAAAAGCCCGCUCGCCGGAAGACCAAGGGUUCCUGUCCAACGUUAAUCGGGGCAGGGUGAGUCGACCCCUAAGGCGAGGCCGAAAGGCGUAGUCGAUGGGAAACGGGUUAAUAUUCCCGUACUUGGUGUUACUGCGAAGGGGGGACGGAGAAGGCUAUGUUGGCCGGGCGACGGUUGUCCCGGUUUAAGCGUGUAGGUGUGUGUUCCAGGUAAAUCCGGUUCACUUUAACACUGAGGCGUGACGACGAGGCACUACGGUGCUGAAGCAACAAAUGCCCUGCUUCCAGGAAAAGCCUCUAAGCAUCAGGUAACAUCAAAUCGUACCCCAAACCGACACAGGUGGUCAGGUAGAGAAUACCAAGGCGCUUGAGAGAACUCGGGUGAAGGAACUAGGCAAAAUGGUGCCGUAACUUCGGGAGAAGGCACGCUGACACGUAGGUGAAGUGAUUUACUCACGGAGCUGAAGUCAGUCGAAGAUACCAGCUGGCUGCAACUGUUUAUUAAAAACACAGCACUGUGCAAACACGAAAGUGGACGUAUACGGUGUGACGCCUGCCCGGUGCCGGAAGGUUAAUUGAUGGGGUCAGCGCAAGCGAAGCUCCUGAUCGAAGCCCCGGUAAACGGCGGCCGUAACUAUAACGGUCCUAAGGUAGCGAAAUUCCUUGUCGGGUAAGUUCCGACCUGCACGAAUGGCGUAAUGAUGGCCAGGCUGUCUCCACCCGAGACUCAGUGAAAUUGAACUCGCUGUGAAGAUGCAGUGUACCCGCGGCAAGACGGAAAGACCCCGUGAACCUUUACUAUAGCUUGACACUGAACAUUGAGCCUUGAUGUGUAGGAUAGGUGGGAGGCUUUGAAGCGUGGACGCCAGUCUGCGUGGAGCCGACCUUGAAAUACCACCCUUUAAUGUUUGAUGUUCUAACGUGGACCCGUGAUCCGGGUUGCGGACAGUGUCUGGUGGGUAGUUUGACUGGGGCGGUCUCCUCCUAAAGAGUAACGGAGGAGCACGAAGGUUGGCUAAUCCUGGUCGGACAUCAGGAGGUUAGUGCAAUGGCAUAAGCCAGCUUGACUGCGAGCGUGACGGCGCGAGCAGGUGCGAAAGCAGGUCAUAGUGAUCCGGUGGUUCUGAAUGGAAGGGCCAUCGCUCAACGGAUAAAAGGUACUCCGGGGAUAACAGGCUGAUACCGCCCAAGAGUUCAUAUCGACGGCGGUGUUUGGCACCUCGAUGUCGGCUCAUCACAUCCUGGGGCUGAAGUAGGUCCCAAGGGUAUGGCUGUUCGCCAUUUAAAGUGGUACGCGAGCUGGGUUUAGAACGUCGUGAGACAGUUCGGUCCCUAUCUGCCGUGGGCGCUGGAGAACUGAGGGGGGCUGCUCCUAGUACGAGAGGACCGGAGUGGACGCAUCACUGGUGUUCGGGUUGUCAUGCCAAUGGCACUGCCCGGUAGCUAAAUGCGGAAGAGAUAAGUGCUGAAAGCAUCUAAGCACGAAACUUGCCCCGAGAUGAGUUCUCCCUGAGACUU
This 2153-nucleotide ribosomal RNA is filed under the name Salmonella enterica subsp. enterica serovar Mississippi str. 2010K-1406. Its description in RNAcentral is "bacterial LSU rRNA". It matches the Rfam family "Bacterial large subunit ribosomal RNA", at positions 690 to 2823 of the family's 2925-position model. The record is from RNAcentral. Lineage: Bacteria; Pseudomonadati; Pseudomonadota; Gammaproteobacteria; Enterobacterales; Enterobacteriaceae.